Molecule: long non-coding RNA, 344 nt
Organism: Grammomys surdaster
Lineage: Eukaryota; Metazoa; Chordata; Mammalia; Rodentia; Muridae
Exons: 3
Source: RefSeq, a predicted model, not a curated record
GAAAAGAGAGAACCAGGGCCCUGUUAUGAUGGGUAGAUGCUCGCCCUGCAGCCUUCCCAAGGUAGCCCUGGAGAGGAUCCUGGAUGCUGAGCUCCCCAAAACUCUUCCCAGAGAUGUUCCAAGCACUCUGGCCACAAGUAUAGAUGUGAACUUACCGGAGACGGUGACCACGAUAUACUGCUGAGCCACAGGGGAUGGGGCAGAAAAGCGGGGGAGAGAGAAACAGAAAAACAAAGAAGAAGAAAAAAAGAAUUAAUCUACCAGCAGAAGAAAACAGCCAGCCCCCAGCUCCCUAGAGAUGUCUUUGAGCUCAUCACUAACUUGAUUAAAUCCCUGGCUACAUA